UGCGCCCGGUCAGGAGAGAGCCCUUCUUGCAAGGGCCGCCGAAGGCGCAGGACCCAGCCGUCCAAACGCUCAGGCAAAAGGACUGACCCAGGUCG
Molecule: non-coding RNA, 95 nt
Filed under: Pseudorhodoferax sp. Leaf267
Lineage: Bacteria; Pseudomonadati; Pseudomonadota; Betaproteobacteria; Burkholderiales; Comamonadaceae
Also listed under: 1 other name
Description: Glycine riboswitch aptamer
Rfam family: Glycine riboswitch aptamer
About the family: This family represents the bacterial glycine riboswitch.
Source: Rfam by way of RNAcentral